CCUAAUUUUAAUUAAAUUAUAAAUAUAAUUUAUUAAUUUUUAAUAGUAAAUAUAAUUUAAUUUAAACAUACUUUUUCUUAAAACUUUGGUGAACACUUAAACUUGUAGAUCAAAAUAUAAUGUUCAUUGUUGAGAAAUGGACAUUAGUAUAUUUACAAAAAAAUGUGAGGUGGGAUGGUGUAAAUUAAGAAAGCAGCUGGCUAGGUAAUUUGGAGGUUUCUGAUGAGGAAACUUGAGGGAACUCACUUUAUGUAGACUCAGUAUAUUCCCACUCAAAGAGAAGAUUAAAUUAUUGCUGCUUUGGAGCUUACUGGAAGCAGAGGGUAGAAAAACGACAGGAAACCACAGGAACUCAUUUCUUCUCUCUAUAGGGGUUACACAUCAAUGAUAUGCGCUUCAUUCAUGUUUGUUAGUGAACUGGGAUGCACUUGGAUAUCAAAACAUUGGCAGUUUUCUUUAAAAACAGUGCUGUUUUUGAUGAAAUAGCCAUUGUAUAAAUGUACCUCAGAGGCUGCUAUGCUAUAGCAUAUCAAACUGACUUUAGAAAAAAACAAACGAGAAAUUUCUUUCUUGAGUACUAAAAGUGUAACUGUCAAUAAUCAUGGCAAAUAUUUUGAUAGG
RNAcentral lists this long non-coding RNA (621 nucleotides) under Homo sapiens (human). Its description in RNAcentral is "LHRI_LNC501.1". Lineage: Eukaryota; Metazoa; Chordata; Mammalia; Primates; Hominidae. The record is from RNAcentral.